RNAcentral lists this microRNA precursor (92 nucleotides) under Mus caroli (Ryukyu mouse). RNAcentral describes it as "miRNA (MGP_CAROLIEiJ_G0007573.1)". The record is from RNAcentral. Lineage: Eukaryota; Metazoa; Chordata; Mammalia; Rodentia; Muridae.
AAAGUUGGGGGUAGGAUGGAGUGGGGGAGUUUUGUUUCUAUAACAACACUAAUCCUAUAAAAUCAAACUUCCAGUCAUUAUCCCUCAUCUCU